This 1784-nucleotide long non-coding RNA is filed under the name Homo sapiens (human). RNAcentral describes it as "HSALNT0136665". Lineage: Eukaryota; Metazoa; Chordata; Mammalia; Primates; Hominidae. The record is from RNAcentral.
GGCCUGGGAGAGGCAGACCCACCCUCAAUCUGGGUGGGCACCAUUCUAGUCAGCUGCCAGCAUGGCUAGAAUAAAGCAGGUAGGAGAAGAUGGAAGAGCAGACUUGCUGAGUCUUCCGGCUUUCAUCUUUCUCCUGUGCUGGAUGCUUCCUGCCCUUGAACAUCAAACUCCAAGUUCUUUAGCUUUUGGACUCUUGGACUUACACCAGUGGUUUGCCAGGGGCUCUCAGGCCUUUGGCCACAGACUGAAGGCUGCACCAUCGACUUCUCUCCUUUUGAGGUUUUGAGACUAAAACUGGCUUCCUGGCUCCUCAGCUUGCUGGCAGCCUAUUGCGGGAUUUUAUCUUGUGAUCAUUGAGAAGCUGGUGUGUUCCUGGAGAUAAAGCCCUGGAAAGUGCAACUGGCUCUCUGAGACUGCAGCUCCCAGAAGCUUCUCACCCUCACACUAGACCACAUCCAGCCUCCUGUGAUUCGUCACAAUUACUGUUCCAGGGCUUGUACCAGUUAAUGGCUCCAGCACUCCUGCUCCAGGUAAACAGAUCUGUUUCUGUAUCUCUCUGGAUGUGUCUGUCUCUUCAGAUUUCAGGGUGUCAUUUUCCCCUCCAACUUCAGUUUUCUGAUUGGCCCAAUAAAAUCAUAAAACUUCAUUUUGUUCUUUUGUUGUUGUUGUUAUAAAGAUAAGAGUGACUCCUGUUAAGCUCUUUACAUGUCAAAGCUAGAACUUAAAAAUCCCUUAAAUGCAUUAUUCUAAUUCGCAGUUCCGCUUGUAAACCAAAAAGAAAACCCUAAGCUCCCCAACCAGCUGAGUGGACUUCUUAUGGGCCAAGGGAAACCUGAAAAACAGAAUCCCCAAUCAUGACAGGAAAGGAGUUUGGACGCACCUCAUUAUACCCUCUCUCUUUUGGAGUUUAGGCACAACCGACCAGCAUUAACAUUAACACAGAGAUCAUGAAACUGAUCAAAUAGACUCUUUGUGGCAAUAAGACACUAAAUUCCAAGUUGACUCUGCUAUAGCAUCACAUGACAAAUAGCAGGCCCUGAAGGAAAUAAAAGUAUUUUACACCAAAAUAUAUUUCUUGGACAUAUUUUGAAAUGGCCCCCACUUCUGGGGUAAAUUUGCAUCUGUAGAAAAUCCCCUUCCCUUUCUAGUUCUUUCCUGGAUUUAGGAGAGAUUUAACUAGGUUCUGAUACACUUUAAGGUCUCAAAAGAGACAUUUACCACCUAUUCUUUCUGAAGUCAGAUACUUAGAGGCUUCAUCUACAUAACAAGAACUGUGGCUUCCUCAAAACCCCUUAUCUUAACUCAAGCAUGUCUUUCUAGUGACUUCCUAAGUCUUUAGACAAAGCUUAUCUCUCUCAACCAAUUGUUAGUCAGAUAAUCUUUAAAUCCACCUAUAACCUGUGAGCCCCUCCAUCAAAUUCACGAUAUCCCAUCUCUUUAGACUGAACCAAUGUAUACCUUGUAUGUAUUUAUCUAUGUCUUUGCCUGUAACUUCUGUCUCCCUAAAAUGUAUAAAGCCAACUGUAACCAAACAACCUUGAGCACACAUUCUUAGGACCUUUUGGGACUGUGCUUGGACCAUGGUUACUCAUAUUGACUCAGAAUAAACAUCUUUAAAUAUUUUACAUAGUUUGGCUUUUAACAUCAAUACCCUUAAUAUACAUUUUUUAGUUGUUUUCUUAGUUUAUGCCCUGGGGACCCCAAUUAGUAUUUAAACAUAAAACAAUCAAAAACAUUUUCUUCCUUACUAUGCAUAUUUAGUAAGUGAGGAGAUCCAAAUUUCA